CUACGCGCGGGGUGGGUGCUGCUUGCUGCAGGCUCUGGGGAGUCGCCAUGCCUACAACACAGCAGUCCCCUCAGGAUGAGCAGGAAAAGCUCUUGGAUGAAGCCAUACAGGCUGUGAAGGUCCAGUCAUUCCAAAUGAAGAGAUGCCUGGUAAGAAUGGAGAUGUGGGAGGCACAGUUGCAGUUCGUGUGUUCCUAAAGAAGCAUGUGCAGUGUCUUCUAGAGUCAGGUGUUUCUGGUAAAUCUAAUCUUCACCGUCUACCAGCAUCUAUCUUCAAUCUCAUCUCCCUCAAGCACUUUGUGGAGCAAUUUCAACAAAGAGCCGUGUUUACUCACAUGUAUAUUUAUGGUUUGGGAUUGUCUGUCUUCCCUACUAGAAUACAAGCUCAUAAGAAUAAGAGACCAUUCCUUUUAUUUACAUAUUACUGUAUUAUUACCACACCAGUGUCUGACUAGAAUUACUAGCCUCCUUGGUUCUAUACCUCAGACCUGAGGAACACUUAACAUAUAAUAGGUACUCAGUAAAUAUUUGUUGAAUGAAUGGAUUUAAAUGCUUUGCAUUUGAAUUAUUCAGCUUUUUUUUCUAAAUACCUUGAAAACUUUAAUUUCUUUGCUGAAUAGAUAAUUUAUUGUAGAAGCUAGCUUAAAAAUUAUACUUAACACUUAUUUAUGUAUUUUUAUAUUCUAAAACAUAAAGUAAGAGAUAAUCUGUGUAGAUACUGUUGAUUCUCUGGAUUAAAAUGUAAGGAAUUGAGCCAAAUUGGUUAGUACUUUAAA
RNAcentral lists this small RNA (775 nucleotides) under Pongo abelii (Sumatran orangutan). RNAcentral describes it as "retained intron". Lineage: Eukaryota; Metazoa; Chordata; Mammalia; Primates; Hominidae. The record is from RNAcentral.